CACAAAUGGCAACGCAAGUAUCCCAAGGUGGCUCGGCCGGGACGGAAACCUGGCUUGGAGUCAAGGGGCAAAAGCCGGCUCGAUCUCGUUCUUUAGUAAGGAAGGGGACCACGAAAGCGGGGGAUCCUUUCUUUUUUUUUAAAGUCUAAUGAGAGAAGGGACAGAAAAGUUAUUAAAGCAGCGUUUCUCAAACUGUGGGGUGCGCCCCCCUAGAAGGGCCCGAUAACCCUACGAGGGGGGGGGCGCCAGCAUAUUGAAAAGUAGAAAACUAAAGAGAUUGAUUUAGAGAAAUUAUUAAUUUACUGAAAGUAAACAAAUAAAAUACAUUCUGAAAUAAAAAAAUAAAAUACAUUCUGAAAUAAAAAAAUAAAAUACACAUUUACACUGAUAUAAUACAUUUAUAAAUAUAUCGGCACUGCGCAAUAUAAUUUACAAUUAACUAAAUAAUACUAAAGAAUUUAAUAAUUACCAGUGACCCCAUUGGCUUUUCAUAUAUAAAAUUAUAUACAAAAAUUAACCCUUUUCUUGAUAAUUUGUACGGUUUAUAGUUAAUUCCUUAAAUACCGAUAAAAUUACGCGAUUUGCUCUUUAAUACCACCGUUUUACACGUAGGCUGGCGUACGUGGUGCAUUGGGGUAGAAAAGGAACAAAUAAGCAAAUCCUCUGAAAUAAGUAAAUCCUUAGCAGACGCUUUUAAGGUAAUUUUAUUGCAUUCCAAAGCCUUCUGAAUAAUUGUAUAGAUAGCAGUGCACAGAAAAGAUCGUAUUUCGGGAAGACGUAUAUAUACGUCCGGGGCAAUUAACGCUUUGGCUGAGCGAGACAUUUACUAUAUACGUCGGUGGUACUUAUAAAGUCGUAUUGUAGCAUAGUAUUAUUGCAUUCAAUACAUUGUAAUUGAAUGGGGGGCGAUGAAAAUUAUGAUUGAAAAGUGGGUCGCAAGUAUUGAAAGUUUGAGAAACACUGUAUUAAAGGGAUAAUUGACUCGUGGCUUCCAAGCGUUCAUAGCGACGUUGCUUAUUGAUUUUUUGAUGUCGGCUCUUCCUAUCAUGGUGAAGCAGAAUUCGCAAAGCGUUGGAUUGUUCACCCGCUAACAAGGAAUGUGAGCUGGGCCUAGACAGUCAUGAGAUAGGUUAAUUUUACCCACAUGAAGACGGGUCGUUGCGAUGUUAAAAUCUGCCCAGUACGAGAAGAACCGUAGGUUCGGACAUUUGGUACUGCGCUCGGUGGCACGAAGCUACCAUUCAGGGAGAUAACGGUUGAACAGGUUGGGUAAAGAUGAUGCGCGCCCCACGCGUCAAUCGGCCGCUCGGACAGUUCGCCCUUACGAGCGAGAGGGGUGAGCGCGAGAUGGCGAAAGAACUCCUUCCUAUGCCUUUGAGGGCCCACCUAGACUCCGUGGGUCUUGC
Non-coding RNA from Trichonephila inaurata madagascariensis, 1406 nucleotides. The record is from the annotation of a GenBank genome assembly. NCBI's taxonomy places the organism in Eukaryota, Metazoa, Arthropoda, Arachnida, Araneae, Nephilidae.